This 224-nucleotide ribosomal RNA is filed under the name uncultured Acholeplasma sp. Its description in RNAcentral is "partial 16S ribosomal RNA". It matches the Rfam family "Bacterial small subunit ribosomal RNA", at positions 1155 to 1378 of the family's 1533-position model. Lineage: Bacteria; Bacillati; Mycoplasmatota; Mollicutes; Acholeplasmatales; Acholeplasmataceae. The record is from RNAcentral.
GCGAUAAGCUGGAGGAAGGUGGGGAUGACGUCAAAUCAUCAUGCCCCUUAUGACCUGGGCUACAAACGUGAUACAAUGGCUGGAACAAAGGGAGGCGAAGGGGUGACCUGGAGCGAACCCAAAAUACAGUCUCAGUUCGGAUUGAAGUCUGCAACUCGACUUCAUGAAGUCGGAACCGCUAGUAAUCGCGGAUCAGAACGCCGCGGUGAAUACGUUCUCGGGUU